RNAcentral lists this ribosomal RNA (500 nucleotides) under uncultured bacterium. RNAcentral describes it as "bacterial SSU rRNA". It matches the Rfam family "Bacterial small subunit ribosomal RNA", at positions 17 to 507 of the family's 1533-position model. The record is from RNAcentral.
UCCUGGCUCAGGAUGAACGCUAGCGGCAGGCUUAAUACAUGCAAGUCGUGGGGGCAGCAGGUUUGUAGCAAUACAGAUGCUGGCGACCGGCAAACGGGUGCGGAACACGUACAGAACCUUCCUUUGAGCGGGGAAUAGCCCAGAGAAAUUUGGAUUAAUACCCCAUAGUAUAAUGAAGUGGCAUCACUUUAUUAUUAAAGAUUUAUCACUCGAAGAUGGCUGUGCGGCUGAUUAGGUAGUUGGCGGGGUAAAGGCCCACCAAGCCUGCGAUCAGUGACUGGUGUGAGAGCACGACCAGUCACACGGGCACUGAGACACGGGCCCGACUCCUACGGGAGGCAGCAGUAAGGAAUAUUGGUCAAUGGAGGCAACUCUGAACCAGCCAUGCCGCGUGGAGGAUGAAGGUCCUCUGGAUUGUAAACUUCUUUUAUAUGGGACGAAAAAAGGCUUUUCUAAGUCGUCUGACGGUACCAUAUGAAUAAGCACCGGCUAACUCCGUG